Molecule: non-coding RNA, 2562 nt
Organism: Mus caroli (Ryukyu mouse)
Lineage: Eukaryota; Metazoa; Chordata; Mammalia; Rodentia; Muridae
Source: RefSeq, a predicted model, not a curated record
UUGGAAAUUCACAGAAAAAAGGCGGUUACACCUUUGGACAUGAAUCGCUUUCAGAGUAGAGCCUUCCGUGCUGUCAUUUCACAGCACAGCAGGCAGGACCCCACCUCUCCACCAGUACAGCAGCCACUUACGAAGGAGCCCUCCUUACACCUGGACACACCAUCAAAGUUUCUGUCCAAUGACAAGCAUUUCAAGCCAUCCUUUGAUGUGACGGAUGCACUUGCAGCCCUGGAAACCCCAAAUGCUGCCAGCCAGAAGCGGAAACUAAGCUCACCACUCUCUGAAGUCAUCGUCAGAAACCUGACAGUUGCUUUGGCAAAUAGUUCCCGAAACACUGACAGUCAUUCUGCCAGCCCUCAGCUGAAGGGUGCCCAUUUGGAGGAGAAAGAGACUCGGAAACCACUUGACAGCGUUGUGGUGUGUGUGAGUAAGAAGCUCAGUAAGAAGCAGAGUGAGCUCAAUGGGGUUGCAGCAUCACUGGGAGCAGAGUACAGGUGGAGUUUCCAUGAGACCGUUACUCAUUUCAUUUACCAGGGUCGGGCAAAUGACAGUAAUCGAGAAUAUAAAUCUGCAAAGGAAAGAGGGGUGCACGUCUUGUCCGAGCAUUGGUUAUUAGAGACAGAUCAUCUGUCUGUAGAAGGAAAUGAGACAAACACUAUGGGCACAAAUGACAAAGAGUCACCUCUGUUGAAUGGGAGUGGAAGAGAUGACUGUAAAGGAGCUCUGACCCAGGCCUUGGAGAUGAGAGAGACCUUCCAGAAGCAGCUGCAAGAGAUCAUGUCAGCCACCUGCAUUGUGAAGACGCCUGCCCAGAAGACUUGCACGCCAAGAAGCAGUUGUAACAGUGCUGCUUCAACUCCUGACAGCACUCGGUCUGUUCGGAGUGGACGAAGCCGAGUCCUGGAGGCACUCAGGCAGUCUCGACAGGUAGUACCUGAUGUGAACACAGAGCCCUCCCAAAAUGAGCAGAUCAUUUGGGAUGACCCAACAGCAAGGGAAGAGAGAGCAAGGCUCGCUAGCAACUUACAGUGGCCCAGCUACCCAACACAGUAUUCUGAGCUUCAGGUUGAGAUUAAAAAACUGGAUGAUUCUCCUUCUCGAAAGCCUGUAUACCAUUCAGAAAUUGCUGAGCAGGCCUCGUGUGUUACUCAAGCCCCAGGGCACCCAGGCUCUGAAGAACCAGAGCCUCCAACAGCAGAAAGGUGUCUGAUCCCGGAGCUGCAAGCCCCCGCUGUAGCUUCCCCACUGGCUAAGCCGCCUGUGGCCCCACAACCUGCAGACAAGAUUGAAACACUGGAGGAUACGCACAGAAAAGUUAAAAAACAGUAUGUGUUCCAGAUGUCGUCUCUGAAUUCUCAAGAGCGGAUUGACUACUGUCGCCUGAUUAAAGACUUAGGUGGGUCGGUGAUCGAGAAGCAGAGCUCUGACCCCAGCUGCACACACAUGGUUGUGGGCUACCCACUGCGCAAUGAGAAGUACUUAGCUUCUAUGGCAGCUGGUAAAUGGGUGCUUCAUCGUUCCUACCUAGACGCUUGCAAGACAGCUGGGCACUUUGUGCAGGAAGAAGACUACGAGUGGGGAAGUAGCUCCAUACUUGAUGCUCUCCCUGACGUCACUGAGCACCAGCAGAAGCUUGCACUUGCGGCAAUGAGAUGGAGGAAAAGAAUCCAGCAAAGUAAAAAAUCAGGCAUUGUUGAGGGAGCAUUUAGUGGCUGGAAAGCUAUUUUACGUGUUGAUCGGCCCUGAGAAGCCGGGUUCAAGCGCCUUCUUCAGGCAGGGGGAGCAAAGGUGUUACCUGGUCAUCCAGAACCUUUACUUAAAGAUGCUACACAUCUCUUUUGUGACUUCAAUAAACUGAAACCUGAUGACUGCAGAGUUUUCAUCGCAGAGGCUACUGCCCAGAACAUGGUCUGCUUGAAAACAGAAUAUAUCGCUGAUUAUCUCAUGCUGGAAUCCCCUCCUUGUGCAGAUAAUUACCAUGUAUCCGAAGCUGCUUUAUUCCAUAAUAAGAAAGGUGGGCCUGGAUUACCACAGAAGAGGAAAACUCCUGCAGAGAAUGUAGUCAAACGGCCUCGAGUACACUGAUGUACUUAACCACCCAACAACGAAUGUUUUUGAGUUUAGUGUGCUUGCUGGAAAUUUUUCAGCUACAACCUGAACAUUGCUGUGAUGCAUUUGUGUAGCAGUUUAAAGGCAUACAUCUGAAGGACUUUGCUUCAGAUUCUAAUGAUCCUGUAAACUGGAUGCCUUUAACCUAAAUUUGAAUCACUGGAUAUUGACUAUUCCUAAUGAGGCUGAAAUAGUUUUAACAAGAUUUGUUUCAAAAAUGUCGUAGUUCAUAAAAGCAAAAGUUAUACAUUAGGGUUAUUUCAUGUUUUCCUGAUUUUUAUAUAUGUAUUCUUGCCAUUUAACCUCUUUUUAACAGCCUGAGCAGGGAGUUUAACAAUGAAGCUAGGGCUCUAAACUUAAAAAACAUGUAUAUAUGUAAAUGUGUGUAUGUAUAAACUUCUAUCAUUUGCCAAACUUGGGCACCAAAACUUUGAGAUAAAGAAUAAAAAAUAG